This 484-nucleotide ribosomal RNA is filed under the name uncultured bacterium. Its description in RNAcentral is "partial 16S ribosomal RNA". It matches the Rfam family "Bacterial small subunit ribosomal RNA", at positions 28 to 507 of the family's 1533-position model. The record is from RNAcentral.
AUUGAACGCUGGCGGCAGGCCUAACACAUGCAAGUCGAGCGGAUGAAGGGAGCUUGCUCCUGGAUGCAGCGGCGGACGGGGGAGUAAUGCCUAGGAAGCUGCCUGGGAGGGGGGGAGAACGGCCGGAAACGGGCGCGAAGACCGCAUACGUCCGGAGGGAGAAAGGGGGGGAUCGUCGGACGUCACGCUAGCAGAGGAGACGAGGUCGGAUGAGCGAGUUGGUGGGGUAAAGGGCUACCAGGGCGACGAUCCGUAACUGGUCUGCGAGGAUGAUCAGUCACACUGGCCCUGCGACCCGUUCCAGCCUCCUACGGGCGGCACCCUUGGGGCAUCUUGGACACUGGGCGCAAGCCUGAUCCCGCCCUGCCUCGUGUGUGACGACGGUCUUCGGCUUGUAAAGCACUUUAAGUUGGGAGGACGGGCCGUAAGUUAAUACCUUGCUGUUUUGACGUUACCAACAGAAUCAGCACCGGCUAACUUCGUG